UAAACUCCUCUUGUUGAGGAAGAUAAUGACGGUACUCAACAAGGAAGUGACGGCUAACUACGUGCCAGCAGCCGCGGUAAAACGUAGGUCACAAGCGUUGUCCGGAAUUACUGGGUGUAAAGGGAGCGCAGGCGGGAGAUCAAGUUGGAAGUGAAAUCCAUGGGCUCAACCCAUGAACUGCUUUCAAAACUGUUUUUCUUGAGUAGUGCAGAGGUAGGCGGAAUUCCCGGUGUAGCGGUGGAAUGCGUAGAUAUCGGGAGGAACACCAGUGGCGAAGGCGGCCUACUGGGCACCAACUGACGCUGAGGCUCGAAAGUGUGGGUAGCAAACAGGAUUAGAUACCCUGGUAGUCCACACCGUAAACGAUGAUUACUAGGUGUUGGAGGAUUGACCCCUUCAGUGCCGCAGUUAACACAAUAAGUAAUCCACCUGGGGAGUACGACCGCAAGGUUGAAACUCAAAGGAAUUGACGGGGGCCCGCACAAGCAGUGGAGUAUGUGGUUUAAUUCGACGCAACGCGAAGAACCUUACCAAGUCUUGACAUCCYGCGACGAUGCUAGAAAUAUUAUUUUYCUUCGGAACGCAGAGACAGGUGGUGCAUGGUUGUCGUCAGCUCGUGUCGUGAGAUGUUGGGUUAAGUCCCGCAACGAGCGCAACCCUUAUGGUCAGUUACUACGCAAGAGGACUCUGGCCAGACUGCCGUUGACAAA
RNAcentral lists this ribosomal RNA (710 nucleotides) under Faecalibacterium prausnitzii. RNAcentral describes it as "bacterial SSU rRNA". It matches the Rfam family "Bacterial small subunit ribosomal RNA", at positions 426 to 1162 of the family's 1533-position model. Lineage: Bacteria; Bacillati; Bacillota; Clostridia; Eubacteriales; Oscillospiraceae. The record is from RNAcentral.